This 292-nucleotide ribosomal RNA is filed under the name uncultured Alphaproteobacteria bacterium. RNAcentral describes it as "partial 16S ribosomal RNA". The record is from RNAcentral. Lineage: Bacteria; Pseudomonadati; Pseudomonadota; Alphaproteobacteria.
GGACUACUGGGGUUUCUAAUCCUGUUUGCUCCCCACGCUUUCGCGCCUCAGCGUCAGUAUCGGUCCAGAGAGCCGCCUUCGCCACCGGUGUUCUUCCCAAUAUCUACGAAUUUCACCUCUACACUGGGAAUUCCACUCUCCUCUCCCGAACUCUAGUCCCGCCGUUUCGAGCGCAGUUCCCAGGUUGAGCCCGGGGCUUUCACACUCGACAAACAGGACCGCCUGCGCGCCCUUUACGCCCAGUAAAUCCGAACAACGCUCGCCCCCUUCGUAUUACCGCGGCGGCUGGCAC